UUGCGCGUGGCGAGUCUGUGUCCUCCCUGUCCCUCCGAGCAGAGAGCCUCCCCGUAUCUGGACCGGGGAGGAGCAGACGCUGGACAGGUUUCUGGGAGAAUGCUGGCAAUUCCCAGGAAGAUACGUGGAGAACGGAAAGGUUGCUACACCCAAAUAGUGGAGCAAAGCUAUGAUUAUGGAGGAUUGGACCUGCAAACUCCAGAACAGAGCAACCUUGUAAAAUGUGUGUGGGCAGCACAGAGACCUUGGGCAAGUUAACAGUUUCCUCAUCUAAAUAGUGAUUUAUGGAAAGCACCUGGUGCGUGUUCUGCCCUCUGAGGACCCUGCCCUUUCCCAAAAGGGAUAUCUUGAGAAGGAAAGUAUGGCUGCUCUUUGCUGGACAGCAGAGUCCCAGAACCCCAUGCAGGUGUUUUAGGGCUUUACGUCAUUCAAGGAUGUGGCUGUGAACUUCACUGGGAAGAAUGGAGAGAACUGGACCCUGCUCAGAGAGUCUUGUACAGAGAUGUAAUGCUGUAGAACUAUAGGAACCUGGUCUUCUUGGUAGGAUUUCCAUUUUCCAAACCUGCUAUCAUCUCCCAGUGGGAAGAAGUGGUAAGCCCAUGAAUGCAAAUGCAGGAGGGAGAGGUGCCAAGAAGCAGCUGUACAUGCUGAACUCCAGUGCACCCAGUUAGACUUGGAGCGGAAACUCAAGUUGAAUGAAAAUGCCAUCUCCAGGCUCCAGGCCAACCAAAAGUCUGUUCUGAUGUCGGUGUCAGAGGUCAAAGCAGUGGCUGAAAUGCAGUUUGGGGAA
This 790-nucleotide small RNA is filed under the name Pongo abelii (Sumatran orangutan). RNAcentral describes it as "processed transcript". The record is from RNAcentral. Lineage: Eukaryota; Metazoa; Chordata; Mammalia; Primates; Hominidae.